GCCCCCUUAGCUCAAUUGGAUAGAGCGUUGGCCUUCUAAGCCAAAGGUUGAGAGUUCAAUCCUCUCAGGGGGUG
Molecule: transfer RNA, 74 nt
Filed under: Rhodopirellula sp.
Lineage: Bacteria; Pseudomonadati; Planctomycetota; Planctomycetia; Pirellulales; Pirellulaceae
Description: tRNA-Arg
Rfam family: tRNA
About the family: Transfer RNA (tRNA) molecules are approximately 80 nucleotides in length. Their secondary structure includes four short double-helical elements and three loops (D, anti-codon, and T loops).
Source: RNAcentral